Molecule: non-coding RNA, 813 nt
Organism: Leptonychotes weddellii (Weddell seal)
Lineage: Eukaryota; Metazoa; Chordata; Mammalia; Carnivora; Phocidae
Source: RefSeq, a predicted model, not a curated record
CCGCUUUUCUGAGCGGAGCCCCCACCGGAGGCCUUGGCUGAGACUUCACCACUGUCCCGGGGCAGGUGAGGGACGUCGGCUGGCAGGACGGGACUGGAUUUUACGACAAGCUGCUGGAUGGUCAGGAAGCUCGUCACCUCGGCUUCUCCUAAAUUUGCCCGCCUCCCACUUGGAGAGUCUUAAAAUGACCUGCGUGUGUUUCCUCUCCCAGAUGCGGACUUGACGGUGACUGAAGCCAGUAGCUCUGACAGUCGCGGGGAGAGGGCUGAGCUCUUUGGCCACGUGGACGAGGGUCUCCUGGGAGGAGAAGCCAGCUACCUGGGCCCGCCCCUGACCCCGGAGAAGGAGGAGGCCCUGCACCAGGCCACCGCCGUGGCCAACCUGCGGGCGGCGCUCCUGAGUAAGAACAGCCUGCUGUCCCUCAAGGCCGACAUGCUCCGGGACGACAGCUCCCUGCUGCUGGACUACCUGCCCAAAGGCACCCACUCCCUGUCCCUCAACGAGUUCACGGUGAUCAGGAAGAAGUUCAAGUGCCCCUACUGCAGCUUCUCGGCCAUGCACCAGUGCAUCCUCAAGCGGCAUAUGCGCUCCCACACGGGGGAGCGGCCCUACCCCUGCGAGAUCUGCGGCAAGAAGUUCACGCGGCGGGAGCACAUGAAGCGGCACACGCUGGUGAGUGGGGCCGGGGCUGUGAGUGCGGCCAUGGCUCAGCACGGGGUCGGCGUGGGAUCAGCGUGGACCAUCACAGGGUCAGUGUGGGGUGGGCAUGGGGUCAGCGUGGGUCAGCACAGGGCUCGCAUGCCGCCCCUCUGA